This 959-nucleotide long non-coding RNA is filed under the name Triticum aestivum (bread wheat). RNAcentral describes it as "long non-coding RNA (TAES_LNC022545)". The record is from RNAcentral. Lineage: Eukaryota; Viridiplantae; Streptophyta; Magnoliopsida; Poales; Poaceae.
AAGAGGUUUUCAGCUCCAUGAUGAGGAUGAUGAUGAUGAUGAUUCUGAUGAGGAUUUUAGUGAUGACGAGGAGCUGCAGACCCCGAUAGAUGAGGUUGAUCCAUUUAUCUUCUUUGUUGGAACCAUCCAAGGUAGAGAAUAUUUCCCACUGUACAUUCUUUUGCAGUACUUAUUUGUGCCCAAAAGUUGCUGACAAGGCAAUAAUUAUUUUGUCCAGCUGUACAAGCAUCCGACCCAGCCAGGUUCCAGAGCCUUAUGCAGACACUGGAUUUUCACUACCAGGCACUGGCUAAUGGCGUUGCUCAGCAUGCCGAGGAAAGAAAAGUUGAAAUUGAGAAAGAGAAGUUGGAGAAAGCAAAUGCACAGUGAUGAAUGAAUUAUAGCAAUGGUUGUUUGUCUUGAGUUUUGUUGCAGGCCAGUGCCCGUGAUUUGGUGAUCGCAGGCAAUGGGUUUUUGCAGCCUUGGUCUACUUGUUUUUGGAGGCCUGAGGCACACAGUUCUUGGAAUAGAAGAAGUCGACAACAGAACCAUCGUGGAUAAUCUCUUGCAGCCUCGGUCUAUUUGUUUAUGGGCAGUGCGAGCCCUACAGAUGAUACUACACACUUGUUAUGAUGCUGUUUUGGUCCUGAGCUCCGGCUCCGUUUGGUCGAUGGAAUUUGUUAAAUGAGCCCUGUGGUUGGGGCGCGUCCCCAAGUUCGCUUAUAGACUAGGAAUGUCCGGUGUAGAGUGUAUAUGAUUGGGCGGUUAUUGGUGGAUUACCAAUACGAUGGUUUCAUUUUUUUUAUGUCGUUGCAGGAUUCAGUGAAUCCAUUUUUGUCCGUACGAUUUGUUGAACAUCGUUCAAGCAUGUCUCUGUAUGGUUUGACAGAGGCUGGUGAAAUAAACUUUGCCUGCAUCUGGUAACCUGGAUAUGGUUAUGAUUACUAUCGCAAUGCAUAAGUUUUUUUGUGUGAUAUUUG